Molecule: ribosomal RNA, 700 nt
Filed under: uncultured Bacteroidota bacterium
Lineage: Bacteria; Pseudomonadati; Bacteroidota
Description: bacterial SSU rRNA
Rfam family: Bacterial small subunit ribosomal RNA
Source: RNAcentral
UAUAGUUCUUCGGAAUUAGAGACCGGCGCACGGGUGCGUAACGCGUAUGCAAUCUACCUUUCACAGAGGGAUAGCCCAGAGAAAUUUGGAUUAAUACCUCAUAGUAUAAUAUCUUGGCAUCAAGGAAUCAUUAAAGUCACAACGGUGAAAGAUGAGCAUGCGUCCCAUUAGCUAGUUGGUAAGGUAACGGCUUACCAAGGCAACGAUGGGUAGGGGUCCUGAGAGGGAGAUCCCCCACACUGGUACUGAGACACGGACCAGACUCCUACGGGAGGCAGCAGUGAGGAAUAUUGGACAAUGGGCGCAAGCCUGAUCCAGCCAUGCCGCGUGCAGGAUGACGGUCCUAUGGAUUGUAAACUGCUUUUAUACGAGAAGAAACACCUCUACGUGUAGAGACUUGACGGUAUCGUAAGAAUAAGGAUCGGCUAACUCCGUGCCAGCAGCCGCGGUAAUACGGAGGAUCCAAGCGUUAUCCGGAAUCAUUGGGUUUAAAGGGUCCGUAGGCGGUCAGAUAAGUCAGUGGUGAAAGCCCAUCGCUCAACGGUGGAACGGCCAUUGAUACUGUCUGACUUGAAUUAUUAGGAAGUAACUAGAAUAUGUAGUGUAGCGGUGAAAUGCUUAGAGAUUACAUGGAAUACCAAUUGCGAAGGCAGGUUACUACUAAUGGAUUGACGCUGAUGGACGAAAGCGUGGGUAGCGA